GAUGAACGCUGACAGAAUGCUUAACACAUGCAAGUCUACUUGAACUUCGGUUUGGGUGGCGGACGGGUGAGUAACGCGUAAAGAACUUACCUCACAGUUAGGGACAACAUUUGGAAACGAAUGCUAAUACCUGAUAUUAUGAUUUUAGGGCAUCCUAAGAUUAUGACAGCUAUAUGCGCUGUGAGAGAGCUUUGCGUCCCAUUAGCUAGUUGGAGAGGUAACGGCUCACCAAGGCGAUGAUGGGUAGCCGGCCUGAGAGGGUGAACGGCCACAAGGGGACUGAGACACGGCCCUUACUCCUACGGGAGGCAGCAGUGGGGAAUAUUGGACAAUGGACCAAAAGUCUGAUCCAGCAAUUCUGUGUGCACGAUGACGUUUUUCGGAAUGUAAAGUGCUUUCAGUUGGGAAGAAAAAAAUGACGGUACCAACAGAAGAAGUGACGGCUAAAUACGUG
This 454-nucleotide ribosomal RNA is filed under the name uncultured bacterium. RNAcentral's name for it is "partial 16S ribosomal RNA". It matches the Rfam family "Bacterial small subunit ribosomal RNA", at positions 28 to 507 of the family's 1533-position model. The record is from RNAcentral.